RNAcentral lists this ribosomal RNA (1048 nucleotides) under Georgenia sp. RNAcentral's name for it is "bacterial SSU rRNA". It matches the Rfam family "Bacterial small subunit ribosomal RNA", at positions 448 to 1509 of the family's 1533-position model. Lineage: Bacteria; Bacillati; Actinomycetota; Actinomycetes; Allobogoriellales; Allobogoriellaceae. The record is from RNAcentral.
AAAAGGAAAAGCUUUUCGCGGACGGUCCUCCAAAAAAGCCGGCUAAUUAGGCCAGCAGCCGGGUAAACGUAGGCGCAAGCGUGUCCGGAAUUAUUGGCGUAAAGAGCUCGUAGGCGGUUGUCGCGUCUGCUGGAAAACGCGAGGCUUAACCUCGCGCCUGCAGUGGGUACGGGCAGACUAGAGUGCGGUAGGGGAGACUGGAAUUCCUGGUGUAGCGGUGGAAUGCGCAGAUAUCAGGAGGAACACCGGUGGCGAAGGCGGGUCUCUGGGCCGUUACUGACGCUGAGGAGCGAAAACAUGGGGAGCGAACAGGAUUAGAUACCCUGGUAGUCCAUGCCGUAAACGUUGGGCACUAGGUGUGGGGCCCAUUCCACGGGUUCCGUGCCGCAGCUAACGCAUUAAGUGCCCCGCCUGGGGAGUACGGCCGCAAGGCUAAAACUCAAAGGAAUUGACGGGGGCCCGCACAAGCGGCGGAGCAUGCGGAUUAAUUCGAUGCAACGCGAAGAACCUUACCAAGGCUUGACAUACACCGGAAACAUCCAGAGAUGGGUGCCCCGCAAGGUCGGUGUACAGGUGGUGCAUGGUUGUCGUCAGCUCGUGUCGUGAGAUGUUGGGUUAAGUCCCGCAACGAGCGCAACCCUUGUCCUGUGUUGCCAGCGGGUUAUGCCGGGGACUCAUGGGAGACUGCCGGGGUCAACUCGGAGGAAGGUGGGGAUGACGUCAAAUCAUCAUGCCCCUUAUGUCUUGGGCUUCACGCAUGCUACAAUGGCCAGUACAAAGGGUUGCGAUGCCGUGAGGUGGAGCGAAUCCCAAAAAGCCGGUCUCAGUUCGGAUUGGGGUCUGCAACUCGACCCCAUGAAGUCGGAGUCGCUAGUAAUCGCAGAUCAGCAACGCUGCGGUGAAUACGUUCUCGGGCCUUGUACACACCGCCCGUCACGUCACGAAAGUCGGUAACACCCGAAGCCGGUGGCCCAACCCCUUGUGGGGGGAGCCGUCGAAGGUGGGACUGGCGAUUGGGACGAAGUCGUAACAAGGUAACCAAGGGCAG